Ctenopharyngodon idella (grass carp) is the source of this 559-nucleotide long non-coding RNA. RefSeq lists it as uncharacterized. NCBI's taxonomy places the organism in Eukaryota, Metazoa, Chordata, Actinopteri, Cypriniformes, Xenocyprididae. The record is from RefSeq and is a predicted model, not a curated record. The transcript is spliced from 2 exons.
CUGAUGCUGGUUAGUACUCAAGUCUAUUUUUAAUAUUUUAUUUUGUUACACAUUUAAGUGACUUUGUAAGUACAUGUAACUUCAUCCAUUUUAAUUUGCAGUUUUAUUUUGAGAAGAGAUGAGAGCAAACGAUUCUUUUGAGGAAUGGCCUCGCUACUUCUUGUUCUGCGUCUGGGUCAUCGACAUCGCCCUGAUAUUUACUGUAUAUCACUUGGAAGCAUGUUUGAAAAAAAAGGUUGAAAUGUACAUUAAGAGCAGAUGUCAAGAAGAGGACUAUGUCAACAAUGCAAGCGAAUUUAUAUGCGAGCAAGCCAGUUGAAGCAGUAAUUGGACAAUUAAUGUUAAAUUGCUUGGCAGUUCAAAGAAACAACUGGCAUCUUUUAAUGGACCUACUUCAUUAAAUGAAUUUUGUUCACUCCAUUUAACUGUAUAUUUUGUGCAGCAAUCAGCAGUAAAUUUUGAAUAACAGGUACAGCUUGAUAAUAUGAUGUUCAUAUUCACAUGUUUCUGAUACUUUUUUUAAAAUGUCUAAAAUAAACCUGAAAAGAUAAUGAGCCUA